CCUACGGGAGGCUGCAGUGGGGAAUAUUGGACAAUGGGCGAAAGCCUGAUCCAGCCAUGCCGCGUGUGUGAAGAAGGCCUUCGGGUUGUAAAGCACUUUCAGUGGGGAAGAAAGCCUUGGGGCUAAUACCCUCGAGGAAGGACAUCACCCACAGAAGAAGCACCGGCUAACUCCGUGCCAGCAGCCGCGGUAAUACGGAGGGUGCGAGCGUUAAUCGGAAUUACUGGGCGUAAAGCGCGCGUAGGCGGUCUGAUAAGCCGGUUGUGAAAGCCCCGGGCUCAACCUGGGAACGGCAUCCGGAACUGUCAGGCUAGAGUGCAGGAGAGGAAGGUAGAAUUCCCGGUGUAGCGGUGAAAUGCGUAGAGAUCGGGAGGAAUACCAGUGGCGAAGGCGGCCUUCUGGACUAACACUGACGCUGAGGUGCGAAAGCGUGGGUAGCAAACAGGAUUAGAUACCCCAGUAGUC
RNAcentral lists this ribosomal RNA (465 nucleotides) under Vreelandella stevensii. Its description in RNAcentral is "partial 16S ribosomal RNA". It matches the Rfam family "Bacterial small subunit ribosomal RNA", at positions 338 to 795 of the family's 1533-position model. The record is from RNAcentral. Lineage: Bacteria; Pseudomonadati; Pseudomonadota; Gammaproteobacteria; Oceanospirillales; Halomonadaceae.